Molecule: ribosomal RNA, 496 nt
Filed under: uncultured bacterium
Lineage: Bacteria
Description: partial 16S ribosomal RNA
Rfam family: Bacterial small subunit ribosomal RNA
Source: RNAcentral
GAUGAACGCUGGCGGCGUGCCUAAUACAUGCAAGUCGAGCGAACGGACGAGAAGCUUGCUUCUCUGAUGUUAGCGGCGGACGGGUGAGUAACACGUGGAUAACCUACCUAUAAGACUGGGAUAACUUCGGGAAACCGGAGCUAAUACCGGAUAAUAUUUUGAACCGCAUGGUUCAAAAGUGAAAGACGGUCUUGCUGUCACUUAUAGAUGGAUCCGCGCUGCAUUAGCUAGUUGGUAAGGUAACGGCUUACCAAGGCAACGAUGCAUAGCCGACCUGAGAGGGUGAUCGGCCACCCUGGAACUGAGACACGGUCCAGACUCCUACGGGAGGCAGCAGUAGGGAAUCUUCCGCAAUGGGCGAAAGCCUGACGGAGCAACGCCGCGUGAGUGAUGAAGGUCUUCGGAUCGUAAAACUCUGUUAUUAGGGAAGAACAUAUGUGUAAGUAACUGUGCACAUCUUGACGGUACCUAAUCAGAAAGCCACGGCUAACUACGU